AACACAUGCAAGUCGAGNGGGCAUCACGAGGUAGCAAUACUUUGGUGGCGACCGGCGCACGGGUGCGUAACGCGUAUGUAACCUACCUAUAACAGGGGCAUAACACUGAGAAAUUGGUACUAAUUCCCCAUAAUAUUCGGAGAGGCAUCUCUCCGGGUUGAAAACUCCGGUGGUUAUAGAUGGACAUGCGUUGUAUUAGCUAGUUGGUGAGGUAACGGCUCACCAAGGCAACGAUACAUAGGGGGACUGAGAGGUUAACCCCCCACACUGGUACUGAGACACGGACCAGACUCCUACGGGAGGCAGCAGUGAGGAAUAUUGGUCAAUGGACGCAAGUCUGAACCAGCCAUGCCGCGUGCAGGAAGACGGCUCUAUGAGUUGUAAACUGCUUUUGUACGAGGGUAAACUCACCUACGUGUAGGUGACUGAAAGUAUCGUACGAAUAAGGAUCGGCUAACUCCGUGCCAGCAGCCGCGGUAAUACGGAGGAUUCAAGCGUUAUCCGGAUUUAUUGGGUUUAAAGGGUGCGUAGGCGGUUUGAUAAGUUAGAGGUGAAAUCCCGGGGCUUAACUCCGGAACUGCCUCUAAUACUGUUAGACUAG
Molecule: ribosomal RNA, 601 nt
Filed under: uncultured Bacteroidales bacterium
Lineage: Bacteria; Pseudomonadati; Bacteroidota; Bacteroidia; Bacteroidales
Description: bacterial SSU rRNA
Rfam family: Bacterial small subunit ribosomal RNA
Source: RNAcentral